UACAGAGGCGGCAAGCGUUGUUCGGAAUUAUUGGGCGUAAAGAGCACGUAGGCGGCCGUGUAAGUCGGUUGUGAAAGCCUUCCGCUCAACGGGAGAACGGCAUCCGAUACUGCAUGGCUUGAGUGCGGGAGGGGAGAGUGGAACUUCUGGUGGAGCGGUGAAAUGCGUAGAUAUCAGAAGGAACACCGGCGGCGAAGGCGACUCUCUGGCCCGUAACUGACGCUGAGUGUGCGAAAGCUAGGGGAGCAAACGGG
RNAcentral lists this ribosomal RNA (254 nucleotides) under uncultured bacterium. RNAcentral's name for it is "partial 16S ribosomal RNA". It matches the Rfam family "Bacterial small subunit ribosomal RNA", at positions 524 to 776 of the family's 1533-position model. The record is from RNAcentral.